RNAcentral lists this ribosomal RNA (434 nucleotides) under uncultured Clostridium sp. RNAcentral describes it as "partial 16S ribosomal RNA". It matches the Rfam family "Bacterial small subunit ribosomal RNA", at positions 341 to 792 of the family's 1533-position model. The record is from RNAcentral. Lineage: Bacteria; Bacillati; Bacillota; Clostridia; Eubacteriales; Clostridiaceae.
ACGGAAGGCAGCAGUGGGGGAUAUUGCACAAUGGGGGAAACCCUGAUGCAGCGACGCCGCGUGAGUGAAGAAGUAUUUCGGUAUGUAAAGCUCUAUCAGCAGGAAAGAUAAUGACGGUACCUGACUAAGAAGCACCGGCUAAAUACGUGCCAGCAGCCGCGGUAAUACGUACGGUGCAAGCGUUAUCCGGAUUUACUGGGUGUAAAGGGAGCGUAGACGGCAUGGCAAGCCAGAUGUGAAAGGCAGGGGCUCAACUCCUGGACUGCAUUUGGAACUGUCAAGCUAGAGUAUCGGAGAGGUAAGUGGAAUUCCUAGUGUAGCGGUGAAAUGCGUAGAUAUUAGGAGGAACACCAGUGGCGAAGGCGGCUUGCUGGACGAUAACUGACGUUGAGGCUCGAAAGCGUGGGGAGCAAACAGGAUUAGAUACCCUGGUA